AUUUGACAAAAAAGCUGGAGAAAGCCACCCCUGCUGUGAGCACAGACACCAUUCCUGCUGCACGAAGUGGAACACCAGGGCAAGCUUUGUAGGGACACGAGAAUUAGCUGGGACAGAUAAAAAUGGCAGUAACAGAAAAUGAAAUACAAGGCAUUCCUUGCAAAUUUAAUUCUCCUUUUAGUGAUUCAUGUCCUUUUCAUUUGCCAGGCUGGCACAAUUACCAAGGUCAAUGCAAAUGUGCUGUCAGCUGCAGGAAAUUGUCAGGGAAGAGAAGACAUCUCUAUUAAUCUUACCUGCCUCAACUCCCAACCAACAGAAGCUCUCCCAUACCAUGGUAAGACAGAGGGUUUUCUGGAAUUUUAGAAGGGAUAAGAACUGGUUCUUAUCACUUCACUGGUUCUCCUCUCCUAAAAGCACUCCGUUUCUUCCCUACAGUCUAACUCUCACCCUAAAUGGCAGAGCUGGUCCAGCCAGAGAUGUACCCAUUCUCCAUCCACAAUGUGCCAAAAGCUGUGCAGGCAGCUGUGGAACAAAAAAAAAAAAAAAGAUUCCAGAAGAGAACACUGGUAAAAUGUCACUUCUGAGACCAGUCAGUUCUGUGAAAUGUAAGAACAUUGCUAUUGCAUCGUCUGCCAGCACCAUGGCACUGCAGAAAUCCUCCUCUCUGUAGAGAAUGGGUGGGCUCCACCAUCUGUCUCCCAAGCACUGCAGAGAGCACAACAACUCCCUCUGCACAUGCUCUGGCACGCAGCAGCAGCGAGUGGUGUCCCCAGCUCUGGCUUCGAGUGGGCAGAUGUGAGCAAAUAGGAUUUAUCAAUUCAUCAUUGUGUUGCUUUUAGCUUUGCUUUGGUAAAACUGCACUGAAUCCCACUGAGCUAAGAUGGAAUAAUACCUCAGAGAACCUGCUGCUCCUUCCCCCACCCAUCCAUGCCCCACCUCAACCACAGCUUUCACCACACAGACAGGUGGGUUUGGGAAGCAAACUCUUUCAAGAAUGAAGCACUAGCAGAGCAGACAGCUCUGAGGAAAGCUUCUUUCCCAG
RNAcentral lists this long non-coding RNA (1042 nucleotides) under Cyanistes caeruleus (blue tit). RNAcentral's name for it is "lncRNA (ENSCCEG00000005987.1)". The record is from RNAcentral. Lineage: Eukaryota; Metazoa; Chordata; Aves; Passeriformes; Paridae.